RNAcentral lists this long non-coding RNA (618 nucleotides) under Gossypium raimondii (Peruvian cotton). RNAcentral's name for it is "long non-coding RNA (GRAI_LNC003196)". Lineage: Eukaryota; Viridiplantae; Streptophyta; Magnoliopsida; Malvales; Malvaceae. The record is from RNAcentral.
AAUGAAAAAUUAAUAUUUAGGCCCUUUAAAAAUUUUAAAUUAGUAAAGGUAAAAUUGCACUUUGCCCCCCUAAAAUUACAAAAAUUUGAUUUAAUCCUUUAAAACUUAUAAAGAUAUAGACUAUAAAAAAUUAAAAUUUCAUUCGGCCCCCUCUUAAAUAAUUGUUCUGGUUUCGCCCCUGGCUUAGGAUCUUUGAACAACUCUCGAAGCCCACUAUGAUACCAAUUGAAAAAUCUCUCUGUUUGCACUUGAAAAAUAGUUUCAUUCCAACCGUCAUUAGAACAAAAAUGAAUAGAAAGAUUAAAUGCAAAGUAACACAAUGAGCAAAGUAAGAAGAAAAUUAACACACGAUAUUUGUUAAUGCAAUUUAGACACAACAGUCCUAUGUUUGCAGAACCUCACCCAGUGAAUGAUUUUAUUCAACGAUCGUCUGGGUCGCCUAUUGACUUAAGCUCAACUUUACACAAAGAAGUAAUUGCAACCCCAAUACUAACCCCAGUAGUCACAAAUCACUCUCCCAAAUACCUCAUAGUACAUCAAUAAACCUCUCUCUAAAUAAUACCUAAAAGAGUGUCACAAAAUAACCACUAGAAAACAUAGCAAAGCUGUCGACAAAGA